CGGGGCGUGGCGCAGAUGGAAGCGCGCCGCGUUUGGGACGCGGAGGUCGCCGGUUCAAGUCCGGCCGCCCCGA
This 73-nucleotide transfer RNA is filed under the name Anaerolineaceae bacterium 4572_32.1. RNAcentral's name for it is "tRNA-Pro". It matches the Rfam family "tRNA". Rfam says of the family: Transfer RNA (tRNA) molecules are approximately 80 nucleotides in length. The record is from RNAcentral. RNAcentral also lists the same sequence under 2 other names. Lineage: Bacteria; Bacillati; Chloroflexota; Anaerolineae; Anaerolineales; Anaerolineaceae.